CUAACUGAAAGUCAAUUUUUUAUUGGAAAACGUAAUAACCGCGGCUGCAGUAGAUCACGUAGACAUUGGACAUUUACAUUUUAUAGUUGCGACUUUCCUAGAAUACACAAUAUAUACUUUUUGCUGCAAUCCUAUUAGAGGAUUCUAUGGCAUUUUGCCGUAAUUACAUUUUCCAAAAAAUUAACGUUCCGACAUUUUAUCUGUCAGUAAAAUCAUAUUGCAUUACAAUUUAUAUUCAAACAUGUUGUACUUCCGUCUAGUUAUUUUCAAGGCUGUUAGAAUUCCCAUAUUUUAUUUGCCAUUCGUUAAGAUUAUUUUCAGUUACAUCCCAUCAAACCGAAGCGUUUAGUGCGAAAUCAUAAUAUUAUAUGAUAACCGACAAUAAUACUUUUUAAAUACGAUUGGUUCCAAACGGACACAAAUAUACGUACAA
Non-coding RNA from Cinara cedri, 433 nucleotides. The record is from the annotation of a GenBank genome assembly. NCBI's taxonomy places the organism in Eukaryota, Metazoa, Arthropoda, Insecta, Hemiptera, Aphididae.